UCCUUAAUGGUGCCUCUACUGGCUCCAAAUUCGAUUCACCAAUCAAACCCAAUUCUGUAUGUGUCGGUUUUUCCACCUCAUAAACUUCAUCAAGUUUAAUUUUACAGGCAUUAGCUCCUUCAUCAAGGAACUCUUUUUCCAAAAAGACUAUCCGGCUACUGACAAACACCUUUUGUUCUGCAGCGAGAUAGAAGUAGUACCCUUUAGUUUCC
Molecule: long non-coding RNA, 212 nt
Filed under: Elaeis guineensis (African oil palm)
Lineage: Eukaryota; Viridiplantae; Streptophyta; Magnoliopsida; Arecales; Arecaceae
Description: long non-coding RNA (EGUI_LNC052148)
Source: RNAcentral